Molecule: ribosomal RNA, 254 nt
Filed under: uncultured bacterium
Lineage: Bacteria
Description: partial 16S ribosomal RNA
Rfam family: Bacterial small subunit ribosomal RNA
Source: RNAcentral
UACGUAGGGUGCGAGCGUUGUCCGGAAUUAUUGGGCGUAAAGAGCUCGUAGGCGGUGUGUCGCGUCGGCCGUGAAAACCUGGGGCUUAACUCUGGGCGUGCGGUCGAUACGGGCAUCACUAGAGUUCGGCAGGGGAGACUGGAAUUCCUGGUGUAGCGGUGAAAUGCGCAGAUAUCAGGAGGAACACCGGUGGCGAAGGCGGGUCUCUGGGCAGCAACUGACGCUGAGGAGCGAAAGCGUGGGGAGCGAACAGG